Non-coding RNA from Peptoniphilus lacrimalis DNF00528, 108 nucleotides. Lineage: Bacteria; Bacillati; Bacillota; Tissierellia; Tissierellales; Peptoniphilaceae. The record is from Rfam.
CUCAAGGGAGUAGCUGGCGGUUAACCGCGAUAGUGUCGUCAUUACGAAUUAUUUCCGGCACUAUAUUAAACAGCGAGACUUGUUUUUUUAAAAAACAGGUCUCUUUUU